RNAcentral lists this long non-coding RNA (462 nucleotides) under Equus asinus (donkey). Its description in RNAcentral is "lncRNA (ENSEASG00005028040.1)". The record is from RNAcentral. Lineage: Eukaryota; Metazoa; Chordata; Mammalia; Perissodactyla; Equidae.
GUUAACUAGAGGUACAGAAAUACAAAAGGACAGGAUUUCUUUUGCACAAGGAAACAUGUCAUUUCCCUUGCUUCCCACUGGCAGCCAUGUUGAUGGAUGGAAUCAGCCUCAGGAUGAAGACGACCCAGAGGAUAACUAAGUGGGAAGUGGCCUGAGUAAUAAACCAAGAGACAACAACAGUACAAGGACAAUGAAAACCAGUUCCAUGUUUAAGGAUGCUUGGGGGAAAACCGGGUUAAACAAAGCUCUGACGCUGUCUCAUGAAUGAACCUUUGUCCUUCUCUGGCUGUUGUUUGGUGUGGACACUUGCAGCAUGGAGCUUUGUAACCAGAUAGAGAAAGUUUAGUGAUCAUGAAGAUUACCGCUAAUCGACAGGCUAGAGUCUGACAACACUGACAGAGAACAAAAGACAGCAUAGCUGUUGUGGUUUCUAGUUGGGAGAACACAAUACAAAAUUGUAGC